This is a non-coding RNA of Procambarus clarkii (red swamp crayfish), 517 nucleotides long. The record is from RefSeq and is a predicted model, not a curated record. Lineage: Eukaryota; Metazoa; Arthropoda; Malacostraca; Decapoda; Cambaridae.
AGUGUUGGUUUACCUCACUUUUGGUAUACAGUUCAGCUUCGUCUCUUGAAGAUGCGUGAAACGAAGGCUGGUAAGAAGUAUUAUUCCUCAUGGCGAGUGAGCACUCCCUUCAGCUGGGAUCAAGCAAACUGUUGCUGCUGGUCUUGGCAGAAGCUUCCAGCUAGUUAGUAUACACAACGAUACGAGACUUCAUAAAGUGCGUUAUCGCCAGAGGCAAGAUCCAGUUCGUGUAGACAAGCGGUAAGGAGCGAGGCAAGACGUGCUGGAGGUGGUCAUCAGAGUACACUGUCCUUCAACAACUGGUCUGACACCUUAAGGCUCGGGCGACCCCAGCCAGACCUCGGGGAAGGUGACGAGGACUCUCGGGGGUACUGAAGAAUAUGUAACAACGGCAGGAAGUGGCGCCACAUUACACCACGUGAAGUAUGUCAUCUGUGACACAAGCCUUUGAUAUUGUUACUAGAAAAGUCUUGGUUUACUGAAUGGUAAAGUUGUAAAAUAUUAAAGCUUAAACUAG